RNAcentral lists this ribosomal RNA (304 nucleotides) under uncultured bacterium. RNAcentral describes it as "partial 16S ribosomal RNA". It matches the Rfam family "Bacterial small subunit ribosomal RNA", at positions 506 to 807 of the family's 1533-position model. The record is from RNAcentral.
CAGCAGUAGCCGCGGUAAUACGAAGGGUGCAAGCGUUACUCGGAAUUACUGGGCGUAAAGCGUGCGUAGGUGGUGGUUUAAGUCCGUUGUGAAAGCCCUGGGCUCAACCUGGGAAUUGCAGUGGAUACUGGGUCACUAGAGUGUGGUAGAGGAUAGUGGAAUUUCCGGUGUAGCAGUGAAAUGCGUAGAGAUCGGAAGGAACAUCUGUGGCGAAGGCGACUAUCUGGGCCAACACUGACACUGAGGCACGAAAGCGUGGGGAGCAAACAGGAUUAGAUACCCCAGUAGUCCCUGUCUCUUAUAC